AAAGAGAGGAGCGACGCUGGCUCCAGGACGAACGCUGGCGGCGUGCUUAACACAUGCAAGUCGAACGAUGAAGCCUAGCUUGCUGGGUGGAUUAGUGGCGAACGGGUGAGUAACACGUGAGUAACCUGCCCUUGACUCUGGGAUAAGCACUGGAAACGGUGUCUAAUACCGGAUAUUUCAACUGGCCGCAUGGUCUGGUUGUGGAAAGAAUUUUGGUCAAGGAUGGACUCGCGGCCUAUCAGGUAGUUGGUGAGGUAAUGGCUCACCAAGCCUACGACGGGUAGCCGGCCUGAGAGGGUGACCGGCCACACUGGGACUGAGACACGGCCCAGACUCCUACGGGAGGCAGCAGUGGGGAAUAUUGCACAAUGGGCGAAAGCCUGAUGCAGCAACGCCGCGUGAGGGACGACGGCCUUCGGGUUGUAAACCUCUUUUAGUAGGGAAGAAGCGAAAGUGACGGUACCUGCAGAAAAAGCACCGGCUAACUACGUGCCAGCAGCCGCGGUAAUACGUAGGGUGCAAGCGUUGUCCGGAAUUAUUGGGCGUAAAGAGCUCGUAGGCGGUUUGUCGCGUCUGCUGUGAAAACUGGAGGCUCAACCUCCAGCCUGCAGUGGGUACGGGCAGACUAGAGUGCGGUAGGGGAGAUUGGAAUUCCUGGUGUAGCGGUGGAAUGCGCAGAUAUCAGGAGGAACACCGAUGGCGAAGGCAGAUCUCUGGGCCGUAACUGACGCUGAGGAGCGAAAGCAUGGGGAGCGAACAGGAUUAGAUACCCUGGUAGUCCAUGCCGUAAACGUUGGGAACUAAAUGUGGGGGCCAUUCCACGGUCUCCGUGUCGCAGCUAACGCAUAAGUCCCCGCCUGGGAGACCGCA
This 870-nucleotide ribosomal RNA is filed under the name Agreia pratensis. Its description in RNAcentral is "bacterial SSU rRNA". It matches the Rfam family "Bacterial small subunit ribosomal RNA", at positions 1 to 890 of the family's 1533-position model. The record is from RNAcentral. Lineage: Bacteria; Bacillati; Actinomycetota; Actinomycetes; Micrococcales; Microbacteriaceae.